GAUGAACGCUGGCGGCGUGCCUAAUACAUGCAAGUCGAGCGAACAGACGAGGAGCUUGCUCCUCUGACGUUAGCAGCGGACGGGUGAGUAACACGUGGAUAACCUACCUCUAAGACUGGGAUCACUUCGGGAAACCGGAGCUAAUACCGGAUAAUAUAUUGAACGGCAUGGUUGAAUAGUGAAAGACGGUUUUGCUGUCACUUAUAGCUGGAUCCGCGCUGCAUUGGCAAGUUGGUAAGGUAACGGCUUACGAAGGCAACGAUGCGUAGCCGACCUGAGAGGGGGAUGCCCCCCUCUGGGACUGGGCCGCGGCCCUGACUCUGAGGGGAGGCCGCGGUAGGGACUCGUCCGAGCUGUGGGAAAGCCUGACGGAGCAGCGCCGGGUGAGUGCUGCGGGUCUGCGGGUCGUAAGACUCUGUUCUUGUUGAAGAACAAAUGUGUAAGUAACUAUGCUCGUUGUGACGGUACCUAAACAGAAAGCCACGGCUAACUACGUG
RNAcentral lists this ribosomal RNA (497 nucleotides) under uncultured bacterium. RNAcentral describes it as "partial 16S ribosomal RNA". It matches the Rfam family "Bacterial small subunit ribosomal RNA", at positions 28 to 507 of the family's 1533-position model. The record is from RNAcentral.